UCUUCGACAGUAUGGCCAAAGCUGGAAACAAGCUGCAGCCGGCUGUCGAAAAAU
RNAcentral lists this microRNA precursor (54 nucleotides) under Ascaris suum (pig roundworm). RNAcentral's name for it is "Asu-Novel-2_pre stem-loop". The record is from RNAcentral. Lineage: Eukaryota; Metazoa; Nematoda; Chromadorea; Rhabditida; Ascarididae.